RNAcentral lists this ribosomal RNA (644 nucleotides) under uncultured Actinomycetes bacterium. RNAcentral describes it as "bacterial SSU rRNA". It matches the Rfam family "Bacterial small subunit ribosomal RNA", at positions 232 to 885 of the family's 1533-position model. The record is from RNAcentral. Lineage: Bacteria; Bacillati; Actinomycetota; Actinomycetes.
CGCGGCCUAUCAGCUUGUUGGUGGGGUAAUGGCCUACCAAGGCGUCGACGGGUAGCCGGCCUGAGAGGGUGUACGGCCACAUUGGGACUGAGAUACGGCCCAGACUCCUACGGGAGGCAGCAGUGGGGAAUAUUGCACAAUGGGCGCAAGCCUGAUGCAGCGACGCCGCGUGGGGGAUGACGGCCUUCGGGUUGUAAACUCCUUUCGCCAAGGACGAAGCUUUAAGUGACGGUACUUGGAGAAGAAGCACCGGCUAACUACGUGCCAGCAGCCGCGGUAAUACGUAGGGUGCGAGCGUUGUCCGGAAUUACUGGGCGUAAAGAGCUCGUAGGUGGUUUGUCGCGUCGUUUGUGUAAGUCCGUAGCUUAACUGCGGGACUGCAGGCGAUACGGGCAUAACUUGAGUGCUGUAGGGGAGACUGGAAUUCCUGGUGUAGCGGUGGAAUGCGCAGAUAUCAGGAGGAACACCGAUGGCGAAGGCAGGUCUCUGGGCAGUAACUGACGCUGAGGAGCGAAAGCAUGGGGAGCGAACAGGAUUAGAUACCCUGGUAGUCCAUGCCGUAAACGGUGGGCGCUAGGUGUGAGUCCCUUCCACGGGGUUCGUGCCGUAGCUAACGCAUUAAGCGCCCCGCCUGGGGAGUACGG